UCUAAUUUCCGUGUCCAACGUUUGACCGUCCGUUCUAUUUAAAAAAAUUAAAAAAAAAGACAAGUCACGCACAAAGUAUUAAUCAUGUUUUAUCAUCUAAUAAUAAUAAUACGAAUUAUAAAAAAAUUUCAUAUAAGACGGACAAUAAAAAUUGUACACGAAAACUCAGGGUAUGUCUUUUU
Oryza rufipogon (brownbeard rice) is the source of this 182-nucleotide microRNA precursor. It matches the Rfam family "MIR812 microRNA precursor family". The record is from Rfam. Lineage: Eukaryota; Viridiplantae; Streptophyta; Magnoliopsida; Poales; Poaceae.